GGGAACGGAUCACGCGUUGAACAACUUUCGAGAGGCCGCCGAAGUGAAGGACCGCGGAACGAGAACAUAGCGACUAAGAAGACCGACCCAACGAAUAGUGCGGACGGCGCGCUAACGGCGAAGCGAGAAGGUCUUGAGCAAAAUCAAGAUGAACGCGUUAAGACCUUUGCCCCGUAUUGAGCAAACACUAGUUCGAGUAGAAAGAACUUGGCUAAAGACCUUUCUGUCCUCUAGGUGCCCAUGAUGAACGGCCCGCAUUCAUGAUUACCCGGCGGUUCGAUCACGACGUGCUUUACUGGAGCUCGUAUACGAUAGAGUACUUUUGCUCGACGGUUUCCGGAACGGUAAUAGUGAAAACCUUCUGUAAUGCCUACCAAAGAGAUUCUUGGUAGUUUAACCGUCGCCACCCAAACGUCACCAGAUGUUCCCUUGCGAACUCUUACCCUGACAACGACACUUCUUCAACGAACUUUCAGAACUAUAAGGACUAUUAUUUAAGUUACUUCUUUAAGCAACAAACUACUCCCAUUUCGUGUUGUUGUAUCAGGCCAAGAACCCUAUAACACGAUUGUAUGUUCCGGUUUACCUUUUGAUGUUACCUCUAAAACAGUACCGUCUACAUGCAGUUUCCAACGAAACGAAACUCAUACAUGGAUUUCCUUCAGAAGUACUCAUAUAGUUUCUAUGUAGAAGAUCUGAACUGACCUAUUUCUCGAUAGCCUAUUAUUUCCCAUAAACACUUCCAAAUGUAAUGGAAGUGGUCUUAACGUAACAAGUGAAUCUAGAGUUCGGCCGUUUAUAAGACAACCUACUGUUGUACUGUGGUUUUUAACGACUAAAACCAGACAGUUCCACGAAGCUACUUUUCGUUUCGGUUCGAUAAUGGCUUUUAUACCGACCUUGUAACCCCAUAUACCGUGGUCUCAAAGUAUCUCCUCUGUUUACGUGCUAGUGUAUGUUGAGCCUGUAUAUAUCAGAACCACAGUAUUAAUAUCUCUACGACUGUCCUUUCUUCACCAUAGGUCCUAUAGGACUACAACUAUUACAUGAACUUUGAACCUCAUUAUUCAAUUCCUUUAGUGUCGCCCUGUGUGAAAACUUUGUCUAUGCCAAUACGUAACUGGAUCCCUAUUUUACGUGACUACCAUUGGUUCGCUUGUCUGGUUUAUGUAGUGUAUAUUAGUCAUCCGAACCACUUAGUCUUUUAUGUACGUAAUAUUGACAAAACUGAAGAAGUUGUCAUGGUGUCCAUCUUUCUUGAAACCUUUUAAACCUCGUAUGGUGGUUAUUGAACGAAGACUCCUCCUUGUUACAAGCAAUAUACUUACUAUAACGGCUCUUCUUACAAUGAUAACUCGUUCUCCGUCGAUUCCUUGAAGUUCUCCGGGUUCUUACAGAGCUACUAUUAGGAGUACAACAACUUCAGCUUAGAUAAGGUAGAUACAGACAACUGCUGGCAUUGGAAGUUCUCCGGGAGGCCGAGUAAUUCCUACUAGGUCACCCUCAUUAACCUUAUACCCCAGGUCCACCUCACCCCUUUUGUGCGGAAAACUUGUUUUAGUUCUUGAGUUAACUACUACUGUUCUGGAAAUUGAUACAACACGUUCACUGUCGAAGUUCCCCCACAAGUCACCUUUUCUAGGUUUGACUGUAACGUGCGGUAGAGUUAGACUUGUCUCUACCAUUACACCUUAGAGUUAGAGCACAGUAAAAACUGAAAGACUUCUUCUCUUCGAAAGAACAUAACAACCUACUAUAAACCCCAGUUUAACUAGAUGUUCGUCAGCCGUAUGGUAUAGGAGAACCUAUACGUUUGGUUUAAACCUCUUUCCACCACGAGUGUUGUUCUAGUUCUUCCCAAACACCAGUUUACCUCCACUCCUUUCUAAACUUACAUAGAACAGAUGUGCUCCUACUGAGUACCGUCCAUAAGGUCCUAUUCCAGCCGGUGUUUUGAGAAAAAAUAUCAGGAGCGUAACUUCGAGAACGUUCUCUUGAUCACUUUCUUUACUUUCCGAACGGUAAUCGAAACUAUUGAGAACCUUUCCGUUACAUACCAUUUUGACUAUGCCGACUCACCCUUAUACGAUAGGUUGUAUACUCUGCCAGUACAACACUAUUGCUACUGGGGGACCUAUACCUUUCUUAACAAAAAUCGGUCUAGUUCAAAUCAAAACUAUCAAACGCUUUGUUAUGAAACUCCUUUACAAAGAACUGAACACGUAACACCGGUCUCCUAGUUGUAUAGAUGUUUCAUCUCGAGCGAGCUACGACCUAACCGAACCCAGAUCACGUACUCAGUCUAUAUGUAUCAAGGAUGUGUUUUCGUAUAUCAGACUACCCACUGGAAAGUCGACGUACAAACAAUCUACCAACACCUCUUUACAUACUAAGAAAAUUUUACGUACUACACCAAGCACUGUACCGAAAUACCUAGAGAACACCUACGUUACUCUUUUUACCGUUCACCAAACAGGCACGCCCAUAACCGGCCGUGCUUUUAAAAUCGUAGGGAACCUCGGUCCAACUUAAACAGAGUAACUACACGUUGAUACAUAAUUUUGAAGGAGGACAACCGAGAUUAGGUACGGUGUACUCCUACAAUACGGAACCUUUAUUGACCAACGUACUUUCGUAUAAUUAACUUCUUUAGUUCUUUAAAUGAAGUGACUGUAUAGACCUAAACGCAAAGUUGUUAGAGCCUCUUUAUGGACUUCUUAAUACAAGGGACUGUUUGAACCUUGUGGAACUGAACAGCGUAUUAUAACUUUAUUUACUUCACGGAAUGAGGAAACCUUUGGAUUAAUUCGAGUUCAAGAACAUGGAUCCUACCUGAUCGUAUGUUUCCUAUGGCCUCCCCCAGUAUAGAUUCGAAGUUAGUAAUGUUCAUUAUCUGAAGUUGUGAAAAAUAGAUGCAGGUUAAGGCUUCCUGGAAGAAAGAUCUUACGAAGCUCUCAACCCGUGGGAUGGGGUGAACUUUCGUCAACCAUAGUGACGGUACACAAAAAGAGUCAUAUUUAAUAAUGCUCUCUCACUCCUGGAGGGGUAGUCCAGAAAUUGAGACGCCUCUGAGCUCUGUGCACGUAAGAUGAAGAGACUAUAAGAUAGUGUACUCAAACGUGGUUCCUGGAACAUACUUGACGAUUAAGUGUACACGUAGUACCUCCUUUAUUAUAAACCUGUGCCCAACCGUCUUGGUUUGACGCCAAAAGCAUGAGAGUUAGUCGAGUCGAAAAGUCUAAACAGCUUGAACUCUCUCUAUUGAACCUGCUUUUGUAGGGGUCGUAGAGAUAAAGGUUCCGAGCGAACAGACCUACACGUAAGGACGCCCUUUGAUUUGGUGGAGAGGACCCGCUACCUAGAUGGAACGGAGCUUGUUGAGCAUUAUAUACUAACAAGAAGCUACGCCGUUCGCAAAUACUCCGUGGUACCACUAUUGGUCACGUCACCUGUUCUGUCAAGUUUCUGUAAAGGAACGGAGUCUAUAGAUUUUAAAGACUCCACACUUAGUGACCAGCCAUAACCCCUAGGACUAUACUGUAAAGGUAGGGAUCUCGCUGACCACGAAGUAGUAACAGGCCUUAACUUAUCCGAAGGAAAGUUCUGCCUGUUGAAUGGUGCUUUUGACGUCCUUGAUGUCUAACUACAACCUAGGACCCUCUCUAACCUUAACCUUCUUCCACAGUCUAGAAAGGACGUCGGGUCCGAAUUUAAUCUUUUUCUCAUUUAUGGUACUCGAACAAAGUACGUACAAAUAUCAUAGGUACGAAGUCAAAUGUGGAACCGGACAUCGAAACUAACUAUCCUUAUACAUAUACAUUAUUAACUAUAUUAAGAAUCGGCUGAACACAUUUUGUCCGAUACUUGAUUUACGCACGCUAAACAAAAGAAUGAAAUGCUAAAAACCUUAAACGUUCACGAUGGAAAACUGCCCUUGUGUAGGAAGACCUAAUUCUUGACCGAACCCAUUUAUUAGGUCU
Molecule: ribosomal RNA, 3980 nt
Filed under: Triticum aestivum (bread wheat)
Lineage: Eukaryota; Viridiplantae; Streptophyta; Magnoliopsida; Poales; Poaceae
Description: partial small subunit ribosomal RNA
Source: RNAcentral